Long non-coding RNA from Engraulis encrasicolus (European anchovy), 741 nucleotides. RefSeq lists it as uncharacterized. NCBI's taxonomy places the organism in Eukaryota, Metazoa, Chordata, Actinopteri, Clupeiformes, Engraulidae. The record is from RefSeq and is a predicted model, not a curated record. The transcript is spliced from 4 exons.
AGUAGGUGGCGAUAAUGAGGUAUUUUUGUGAGGACUAGAGAGAAGAAGAAUAUUGCUGUCUUUGAGGAAGCUAGUAGCUACUGCUUCACACACUCGUUUUUGCUGGCAAACACCAUCUAAUCUUUUCAUUUCAACCUCUUUUUUGUUAGCAAGGACAAUACAGACAAAAGGACAGAAGCAGCAUUUAUGUAUUUUGUUAUGUAAUUCGGUAGAAUGGGAGUUAUUGAUCACAGAGCGAAUGGAGAACCUGGACGUAAUUCUGUUGAUGCCUGCCUGUGUGACUGGCGGGGAUGUAGGCAAAGAACGUGGAUCUAUGUAAGGAGGGCUUUGAUCAAGAGACCAUGUGCCAAAAAUCAACUGGAAAAGACGUCCGAGACCGGAGGCGAGGAAUUGGAUGGUCAGAAACCAGGCUGUUGGUGCUGCUGAGGCUGUUGGUUUUCCUGCUUCACUGGUGGAGGAAGUGCAGAGCAAAUUGUGCAGCGGUGGACUUCACUACUUGGAGAACAUGAAUGGAAAGAACACGGGGAUCAUCUAAGCCUGGAUGACUAACUGAAGAGGAAUUGGAUUCAACCCCAGUCCCAGCGUCUACAGGCAACCAUGGAGGAUAAAUGACUUCUGAAAGUUCUGCAGCAGUUGACUCAGUUCAAACAUACCGUUUCAAUACUGGCAUGUCUUUACAGGGGGCUCUGGAGGAAAAGAAGAGAGGAGAAACACGCAUCUGAUGACCAACCACAUUUUACA